RNAcentral lists this ribosomal RNA (201 nucleotides) under uncultured bacterium. Its description in RNAcentral is "partial 16S ribosomal RNA". It matches the Rfam family "Bacterial small subunit ribosomal RNA", at positions 328 to 539 of the family's 1533-position model. The record is from RNAcentral.
ACGCUCGACACCUACGGGAGGCAGCAGUGGGGAAUAUUGGGCAAUGGGCGCAAGCCUGACCCAGCAACGCCGCGUGAAGGAAGAAGGCCCUCGGGUUGUAAACUUCUUUUGUCAGGGACGAAGCAAGUGACGGUACCUGACGAAUAAGCCACGGCUAACUACGUGCCUGCAGCCGCGGUAAUCUGAGCGGGCUGGCAAGGC